Molecule: ribosomal RNA, 1206 nt
Filed under: Triticum aestivum (bread wheat)
Lineage: Eukaryota; Viridiplantae; Streptophyta; Magnoliopsida; Poales; Poaceae
Description: partial small subunit ribosomal RNA
Source: RNAcentral
AUGAAGACUCACAUACAACACUAUGUCAAGUGCUGUCCAACCUGUCAACAGGUGAAACCAGAUCGUGCCGCUUAUCCAGGGCUGCUCGAACCUUUGCCAGUACCUAAGGAAUCCUGGGAAAUGAUCAGUAUGGAUUUUGUCGACGGACUGCCAUCGUCUGGAGGAGUGAAUUGCAUCUUGGUCAUUGUCGACAAACUGACAAAAUUUGCCCACUUCCUUCCGUUGGCUCACCCAUAUACAGCUUCAGAAGUCGCCCUCCUCUACAUGAAUCAAGUAUACAGGCUACAUGGGUUUCCCGGCUCAAUCAUCUCGGACCGUGACCCGGUGUUUACCAGCCACUUCUGGCAGGAGCUAUUGAAGUAUGCUGGCACUGGCCUUCGAAUGAGUUCAACCAAUCAUCCGCAGACUGAUGGGCAAACCGAGCGUGUUAACCAAUGCCUGGAAACAUUUCUUCAGUGCUUCACCCAGGCCUGCCCCCGUCACUGGAGUUUCUGGAUUCCUCUUGCCCAAUUCUGGUACAAUUCUUCUUAUCACUCUUCCAUUGGCAUGUCUCCUUUCCGAGCGAUGUACGGGCAUGAACCACGGCAGUGGGGAAUCAUGGCAACGAGCGCUUGUUCGGUGCCAGCACUGCGCUCUUGGUUGGAUGAACGAGCAGUGGUGCAAGACCUACUACAGCAGCAUCUGAACCGAGCUCGGCAAGUUAUGAAGCAGCAAGCUAACAAGAAGCGUUCGUUCCGGGUGUUUGAAGUGGGAAAUCUGGUCUACUUGAAGCUACAACCGUACAUCCAGACCUUCGUCGCCCCGCGAGCAUGUCACAAGCUCUCAUUCCGGUUUUUCGGCCCUUACAAGAUCGUCGCUCGAGUGAAUGAUGUUGCCUACAAGCUGCUGUUGCCGGAGGAUGCACAAGUGCACCCGGUCUUUCAUGUAUCACAACUCCGAAAGGCUCUUGUCCCAGGUAUGGAGGUUUCUGCAGAUCUUCCGGUUCAUUCUGAUAUUCCUGCUGUACCUGUGAAGAUGCUCAAGCAGCGCUGGCGAAGUCGCCGGGGGGCCAUGGUGGAGCAAGUCCUCAUUCGUUGGUCCAACCCAGCCGCGGUGCCUGAUUCAUGGGAGGACCGUGCAGUGCUCCAAGCUCGGUUCCCAGCGGCUGAGGCUUGGGGGCAAGCCUCGACACAAGAAAGGGGGGAUGUCAGCACCCCUGGCCUAUAG